This 821-nucleotide long non-coding RNA is filed under the name Heterocephalus glaber (naked mole-rat). RNAcentral describes it as "lncRNA (ENSHGLG00000028057.2)". Lineage: Eukaryota; Metazoa; Chordata; Mammalia; Rodentia; Bathyergidae. The record is from RNAcentral.
AGCCGGGUUCCCCGGAUGGCCCAGCCCCUUCUCAAGUCCCCAGGUCCUCCUGGGUCGUCCCUUCCCCGUGUGACACCUCCAGUGCUGAGACCCCUGGCGCCCUCAGCCCCUCACCCCAUGGCCAGACCCACCUGGCCUCUCCCUUCCCAAGUAUCCGGGUUCACCAAGUCACUCCGUCCCUGUCCCCUCCACUCCAGGACAGUGCAGAUCUUAGUUUAAGUCAACUCCUGGCCACCGUUGCCCACCUCUACCUCCCUCCUUCCUACCUGCCCUUGGGCCUUUGCACAUGUUCUGCGUGCUGCCUCUCUCCAGCCCCUGUGGGCAGGGACUGCACCCUGCCCUGUGUGCAGUAUUUGAGGUGGGAAGCUCCCAGUGGAGUAUAGGAGGGAUGUUCCCUUCUGAACACACGAGUCCUGGGACUACCUCUUGCAUCCAGGGCCACACGCACCCUGAACUCCCUCCACCCAGCCUUAGCUAACUGCUUGAAGACCUGAGUCAGCACCACAGGACAGGCCAGCCAGUGAGAGGGCAGGACAUCCCUGCCCUGCUGUCCCCACCAGGCCGCAGGAAGGGCUGGCCCCUGAGAGAAGCAAGCACUGACUAGUGCCAAGGACAGACUGUGACCACUCCCAGCCAGUCCCUGGAGGAGUUGCAGAACCUUUCUGAUGGCUGGGGGCAAUGCAGUCCUCUGUGUGGAUGCAUCCUUGUCUUUUAUUCUGAGUCCUCAGAGAUUUCAGUCCCAGGGAUUGAACUCAGGCCUACUGCUCUAUCGCAAAAAAUUCAUUACAACCAAAUGAUCUGCAAGAGUCAGACAGAGCCCG